GAUGAAGAACGCAGCGAAAUGCGAUAAGUAAUGUGAAUUGCAGAAUUCAGUGAAUCAUCGAAUCUUUGAACGCACAUUGCGCCCGCCAGUAUUCUGGCGAGCAUGCCUGUUCGAGCGUCAUUUCAACCAUCAAGCCCCAUGCUUGUGUUGGAGCCCUGCGGCUGCCGCAGCCUCCCAAAACCAGUGGCGGGCUCGCUAUCACACCGAGUGCAGUAGUUUACUCUUCGCUCAGGGCGUGUGGCGGGUGCUAGCCGUGAAACCCCCAACUUCUCAAGGUUGACCUCGGAUCAGGUAGGAAUACCCGCUGAACUUAAGCAUAUCAAUAAGCGGAGGA
Molecule: unclassified non-coding RNA, 334 nt
Filed under: soil metagenome
Description: partial contains 5.8S ribosomal RNA, internal transcribed spacer 2, and large subunit ribosomal RNA
Rfam family: 5.8S ribosomal RNA (bases 1-120)
Source: RNAcentral